RNAcentral lists this ribosomal RNA (448 nucleotides) under uncultured Neisseriaceae bacterium. RNAcentral's name for it is "bacterial SSU rRNA". It matches the Rfam family "Bacterial small subunit ribosomal RNA", at positions 812 to 1261 of the family's 1533-position model. The record is from RNAcentral. Lineage: Bacteria; Pseudomonadati; Pseudomonadota; Betaproteobacteria; Neisseriales; Neisseriaceae.
ACAAUUAGCUGUUGGGACACUAGAUGUCUUAGUAGCGAAGCUAACGCGUGAAAUUGUCCGCCUGGGGAGUACGGUCGCAAGAUUAAAACUCAAAGGAAUUGACGGGGACCCGCACAAGCGGUGGAUGAUGUGGAUUAAUUCGAUGCAACGCGAAGAACCUUACCUGGUCUUGACAUGUACGGAAUCUCUUAGAGAUAGGAGAGUGCCUUCGGGAGCCGUAACACAGGUGCUGCAUGGCUGUCGUCAGCUCGUGUCGUGAGAUGUUGGGUUAAGUCCCGCAACGAGCGCAACCCUUGUCAUUAGUUGCCAUCAUUAAGUUGGGCACUCUAAUGAGACUGCCGGUGACAAACCGGAGGAAGGUGGGGAUGACGUCAAGUCCUCAUGGCCCUUAUGACCAGGGCUUCACACGUCAUACAAUGGUCGGUACAGAGGGUAGCGAAGCCGCGAG